GAUGAACGCUGGCGGCGUGCUUAACACAUGCAAGUCGAACGAGAAGUGAAGACGGUAGCCUUCGGGCGGAAGGCUUUAUUUCGAGUGGCGGACGGUGGAUUAACGCGUUGGUAACCUGCCUCAUACAGGGGGAUAACAGUUUGAAACGACUGUUAAUACCGCAUCAGACCACAGCACCGCAUGGUGCGGUGGUAAAAACUCCUGUGGUAUGAGAUGGACCCGCGUUCGAUUAGCCAGUUGGCGGGGUAACGGCCCACCAAAGCGACUAUCGAUAGCCGAUCUGAGAGGAUGACCGGCCACAUUGGGACUGAGACACGGCACAAACUCCUACGGGAGGCAGCAGUGGGGAAUAUUGCACAAUGGGGGAAACCCUGAUGCAGCGACGCCGCGUGAGUGAAGAAGUAUUUCGGUAUGUAAAGCUCUAUCAGCAGGGAAGAAAAUGACGGUACCUGAGUAAGAAGCCCCGGCUAACUACGUG
This 478-nucleotide ribosomal RNA is filed under the name uncultured bacterium. RNAcentral describes it as "partial 16S ribosomal RNA". It matches the Rfam family "Bacterial small subunit ribosomal RNA", at positions 28 to 507 of the family's 1533-position model. The record is from RNAcentral.